Small nuclear RNA from Choloepus didactylus (southern two-toed sloth), 103 nucleotides. The record is from RefSeq and is a predicted model, not a curated record. NCBI's taxonomy places the organism in Eukaryota, Metazoa, Chordata, Mammalia, Pilosa, Megalonychidae.
GUGCUUGCUUCGGCAACACAUAUACUAAAAUUGGAAUGAUACAGAAAUUAGCACGACCCCUGUGUAAGGAUGACAUGCAAAUUGUGAAGCAUUCCAUAUUUUU